RNAcentral lists this transfer RNA (88 nucleotides) under Alphaproteobacteria bacterium. RNAcentral's name for it is "tRNA-Ser". It matches the Rfam family "tRNA". Rfam says of the family: Transfer RNA (tRNA) molecules are approximately 80 nucleotides in length. Lineage: Bacteria; Pseudomonadati; Pseudomonadota; Alphaproteobacteria. The record is from RNAcentral.
GGAAGGGUGGCUGAGUGGUUUAAAGCACCGGUCUUGAAAACCGGCGUGCGGAAACGCACCGUGGGUUCGAAUCCCACCCCUUCCGCCA